This 366-nucleotide ribosomal RNA is filed under the name Triticum aestivum (bread wheat). Its description in RNAcentral is "partial small subunit ribosomal RNA". The record is from RNAcentral. Lineage: Eukaryota; Viridiplantae; Streptophyta; Magnoliopsida; Poales; Poaceae.
AUGGCCUUCCUCUGCUCCCUUACCGCGACCUGCUUUCUUAUAUACGGCGGUGCAAGAGAAAUUCCACGGGACCACCGUUACUUGUACAACUUGCUGGCGUCUGGGUUGGUGCCGGUGGGAGCUCAAUGUAUGAUUGCUGCGUUUGCUGCGUCUGGGUUGGUGCCGGUGGGAGCUCAAUGUAUGAUUGCUGCGUCUGGGUUCAGUCAACCGUUGGCUCAUUGUCCUCGUAUACACUUUGUCCAUAGCUUCACUGCUUCUCUGCUUCCCUGGCAUCUGGGCUCCGUUCCAUCUGGGGCUGGGGAAGGCCAUAUGGCGUCGAGCCGGAUGGAGGGGAUUUAUCAACAUACACGUGUUCCAAAGUCUUAG